AGAGCAAGAAAUCGAAGAUGAAGGUGUAAGAAAACCAAAGCUCGGUGAAUUUUCGGCGGGUUUGGCUUGGAUGUUCUUGGAUGGAUUUGGGGCUGAGGUUUGAAGGAUGUGAAGGGGUUGUUUCUUGAAGAUUUUUAGCAGAAAUGAAGAAGAGGGAGCUUCUCUUUUCGAGAGGGAUUGAAGAGAGAAGAGGAAGGGGCUUUGAGAGGAGCUUCUUGAAGUGGAAGAAGAGAAUUCUUCUUGGGGGCUUUUGAUCGAUGAAGAAGGAAAGAGGAGAGAGC
Molecule: long non-coding RNA, 281 nt
Filed under: Erythranthe guttata (spotted monkey flower)
Lineage: Eukaryota; Viridiplantae; Streptophyta; Magnoliopsida; Lamiales; Phrymaceae
Description: long non-coding RNA (EGUT_LNC001016)
Source: RNAcentral